This is a long non-coding RNA of Pseudopipra pipra, 1335 nucleotides long. RefSeq lists it as uncharacterized. NCBI's taxonomy places the organism in Eukaryota, Metazoa, Chordata, Aves, Passeriformes, Pipridae. The transcript is spliced from 2 exons. The record is from RefSeq and is a predicted model, not a curated record.
UCAUGAUUAAGUCCUAGUCACAGAAGAAUAGGAUAUGACUUGUUAGCAUUCACUACUGAGUUCUGCUUUGAAAAGUCUCAAAAAAAAAGACAAACCAGGCUUGGACUUUUUUUAUUUCUCUUUAGCCUGUCUCACAGAGGCUUGGUCUAUGAAUGAAAAGUUUCUUAGUUAUCUUUCCAGUAUCCUUCAUCUACUCCUCUUGGACCCUUCAGAAGACGGUAUAGGUGGCUACAGUAAAAGGACAUGACAAAUUCUCAAUGGGGAACUUUUGGAAUUCUCAUUUCUGUCUAAGUAGCAUCACCAGUGCUGAGACGAGGGACAAAAGCACCAUGGAUCCCAUCAGAUUUGACUAUUCCUGUCAGGUUUGCCAGUCUUCCACAGUGUAGAUACAGACAAAUAGGAAAAAAAAUACCAGCCUACCCAGUCUGGCUAAUACUAUACUUGUGGUAGAGCAGUACAACAAAAAUUACAGGAAACCCACAAAGAAUGCAGAUUUUAUAUGGUGAAGACUUCACAGUUUUACAUUAUUUAACUAAGGACAAGCUGGGAGAAAUAGCACAGACAAACAGAGCAGAAGGCUCUCAGCUGUCUCCUUGUCACAGCUGAGGUCACAAGCUCAGGAGAAGUGGCAGGAGCAGCAGGUGCUCCUGAAAUCCUGCUGGCACAGGGCCACUGUCACAUGUUUGCUGGAUCAUGCCACAUGAAUCAAUAAAACUGCUCUCCCUGCUCGUAAGAGACACAACGAAAUAAACCUCUACCAGUCACAAAUGGUUUCUUCAGAGACUUGGAGGACUUGACCUAAGACACAGAGGAGAUAACUGUACUAUUCUCAGUGAUUCCAUGGGCUUGGAAUCAGCUUCAUUAACUGUGGGAAUGAAGAGCACGGAAGAAAUGUCACCCAAUGGGCUGCCUGGGAAACUGCUCCCCCAGGCACUGUGAUUGUCACUGACCUUCACAGGGACAAAAAACAAAACCAGUUUUCAUACAUCUGUUUUCAGUUGAUCUGUUUUCAGUUAAUUUACUUCUCCUUAGGGCAAAUGUCUUGCGAAAUAAAUAAUGGCAAAACAUGUGGGAGACACACGCGUGAGAAAGGGGCUUCAACAAGAAUCACAUACAUGAAAAAUACCACAUCUAAAUUGUUGGAAACAGAAACCUGCUAAGACGAUGGGCUUCAUGCAAAUUUCAGAUGAUCUGGAAAAAGCCAGGACCUAAAUAAGAGGGACACAGAGUCUGCUGCCUGGGAUACAGUUUCUUGCGAUGACAUAUCAGGGGCAGGUUACUUCUACCUUUGCCAGGUAGAUCUAUGUACAAAUUUAAGUUUGUAGUUCAUUGGAA